RNAcentral lists this ribosomal RNA (771 nucleotides) under uncultured bacterium. Its description in RNAcentral is "bacterial SSU rRNA". It matches the Rfam family "Bacterial small subunit ribosomal RNA", at positions 72 to 830 of the family's 1533-position model. The record is from RNAcentral.
ACGAUGGAUCACCAGUGAGCUGGCGGACGGGUGAGUAACACGGUAGGUAACCUGCCCCGGAGCGGGGGAUAACAUUUGGAAACAGAUGCUAAUACCGCAUAACAACAAAAGCCACAUGGCUUUUGUUUGAAAGAUGGCUUCGGCUAUCACUCUGGGAUGGACCUGCGGUGCAUUAGCUAGUUGGUAAGGUAACGGCUUACCAAGGCGAUGAUGCAUAGCCGAGUUGAGAGACUGAUCGGCCACAAUGGAACUGAGACACGGUCCAUACUCCUACGGGAGGCAGCAGUAGGGAAUCUUCCACAAUGGGCGCAAGCCUGAUGGAGCAACACCGCGUGAGUGAAGAAGGGUUUCGGCUCGUAAAGCUCUGUUGUUGGAGAAGAACGUGCGUGAGAGUAACUGUUCACGCAGUGACGGUAUCCAACCAGAAAGUCACGGCUAACUACGUGCCAGCAGCCGCGGUAAUACGUAGGUGGCAAGCGUUAUCCGGAUUUAUUGGGCGUAAAGCGAGCGCAGGCGGUUGCUUAGGUCUGAUGUGAAAGCCUUCGGCUUAACCGAAGAAGUGCAUCGGAAACCGGGCAACUUGAGUGCAGAAGAGGACAGUGGAACUCCAUGUGUAGCGGUGGAAUGCGUAGAUAUAUGGAAGAACACCAGUGGCGAAGGCGGCUGUCUGGUCUGCAACUGACGCUGAGGCUCGAAAGCAUGGGUAGCGAACAGGAUUAGAUACCCCUGGUAGUCCAUGCCGUAAAACGAUGAGUGCUAGGUGUUGGAGGG